Molecule: ribosomal RNA, 244 nt
Filed under: uncultured bacterium
Lineage: Bacteria
Description: partial 16S ribosomal RNA
Rfam family: Bacterial small subunit ribosomal RNA
Source: RNAcentral
AAGGGUGCGUAGGCGGUUGAUAAAGUCUGUGGUUUAACAUAUGAGCUUAACUCAUAUCAGCCGUAGAAACUUAUCAACUUGAGUAUGGGAGAGGAAAGUGGAAUUCCUAGUGUAGCGGUGAAAUGCGUAGAUAUUAGGAGGGAUACCAGUGGCGAAGGCGACUUUCUGGACCAAAACUGACGCUGANGCACGAAAGCGUGGGGAGCAAACAGGAUUAGAUACCCUGGUAGUCCACGCCGUAAAC